Molecule: non-coding RNA, 80 nt
Filed under: Mucochytrium quahogii
Lineage: Eukaryota; Bigyra; Thraustochytrida; Thraustochytriidae
Source: RNAcentral
GCAGCAAGAAAACUCACACAUGUAUUGACUCACAAGGAAUGUUGAGCGGGCCAGAAAGCGCAGUCAUGGUUGAUGUCAAA